GGAUGUGCAAAGUUGAACUAUGGCAUUAUUACCUUAUUGCCCAAGUCAACUGAUGCUAGUAGAAUACAACAAUACAGACCAAUCUGUUUAUUGCGUUGUCCGUACAAACUUAUUACUAAGGUCAUGGACCUUAGAGUUGGUAAAUCUGUGCAUAAACUGUUCAGUAUACAGCAAAAUGCCUUUAUCAAAGGGAGGCAUAUAGUAGAUGGCAUUUUAUCCCUUCAUGAGAUUAUACACUACACCCAUGUCAAAAAACAAAAAGGGGUGGUUCUCAAGCUUGAUUUUGAGAAAGCUUAUGACAAAGUCAAUUGGGACUUUUUGCUAGAAUGCCAUGUUAAACGUGGUUUUAAUCAAAGAUGGUGCAGAUGGGUAAAUCAGAUCCCUAGGAAUGGGAUGGUUAGUGUUAAGAUCAAUGAUGAGCUAGGACCGUAUAUAUAG
RNAcentral lists this ribosomal RNA (438 nucleotides) under Triticum aestivum (bread wheat). RNAcentral's name for it is "partial small subunit ribosomal RNA". Lineage: Eukaryota; Viridiplantae; Streptophyta; Magnoliopsida; Poales; Poaceae. The record is from RNAcentral.